AAAGCCCUGUGGGAGACAGAUUUUAUGCUUCAGGAACAAGUAAAUUCUGCCCUCCUGUGUGUACAGAAACAGUGUCUCCAGGUAUUCGGUCUGUCUGUUGCUCCUUCAUUCUUCUAUCCCUGGUAACAAGCAAACAAACAACAGAGCAUUUGUGAGUCCGAAAGUUAAGGUGGUUCACGUUGGCCACAGUGAAGAGGGAGCCCCAUACACUUCCCCUCCCAGAAAUAGACACUCUGCCCCUGCACCCUGAAAAGAUCACCUCACCCCCUGAGCGGAGCAGCCCACAGAGACAAAGGGGGCAAGCCUGGGUGCCCGGAACCCUAGCCCAGGGCAACGGCAAUAUAGGAAGUUACCGCUCAUGGUUCGUUACAGGGCUGUGGCAUUCCCGGGAAGAAAAGAAGGCACAUUGGCCGAGGCGCAGACAGACAUCUGAAUCUUAUUCCCCUGUUCUUACGAGCCGCUUAGAGGUCAUGUUUCCCCCCACUCCGUUUUCUACUAAAGAGAUGACGUCGCGCCCUACUUGCUUACCAGGAGAGGGCAGAAUUUGUGUCAUUAAAGACUCCGUCAUCGCCACCACUGUCAAAGGCAAAUCCCUCCCAAGGCCGGCAUCUGAAUCCGACCACUGGAGCAAGGAUUCUGAGGUUUCGACGUCAAAGCCUACAGCUCCAGAGAAAACCCAGGCGCUCGGAUCCCCCGGGUAGGGGGAGGGCGGGCCACGCUGCGGCAUCCCACCCACUCAGGAAUCCCUUCUUUCCACUUGUCUGAGCAGACUGGGAAGGAGGGCCUCCGGCAACCAGCUGGAAGAGAGUUGGCUGGGGCUCCGCUGUCACUGAUUUAUGAAGGCCUUUCGGGGCCAGAAUGACACCAUCCACCCUCCAUCUACCUCCUGCUAAUUUAUAUUCUCAGAGCUUUAAAUCACAGCGACAGCCCCGCAGGCCCUUUGACCAGUCAAGGGCUUCCGGGGCCCCGCACGCUGCUCUCCUGUCCCCACAGUGGGUCCUACAGUUCCCCAUCCUCCCCAACCUGCUCCAAACCGUACUCCCUCCCAGCUCCUGGGGCUCUCAGGCCCUCUGCUCAAUCAGAUAAACAGCAGAGCAGUGACUUUCUUUUCGCUGACUUGGAAGCUCCCUUGUCUGAAAAACAUUGCCAACGUUAGAAAAAAAACAAAAACAAAAAACCUUAUUGAUGUUAUGACUCACCCUCACCUGGUAUUAUUGCUAAGCUGCAAAGCAAACACCUGCUCCCACCAACAAAAUAAAUGCAAAAUUACUAAGAU
Molecule: long non-coding RNA, 1276 nt
Organism: Panthera uncia (snow leopard)
Lineage: Eukaryota; Metazoa; Chordata; Mammalia; Carnivora; Felidae
Exons: 2
Source: RefSeq, a predicted model, not a curated record